Nerophis ophidion (straightnose pipefish) is the source of this 4382-nucleotide long non-coding RNA. RefSeq lists it as uncharacterized. Lineage: Eukaryota; Metazoa; Chordata; Actinopteri; Syngnathiformes; Syngnathidae. The record is from RefSeq and is a predicted model, not a curated record. The transcript has 2 exons.
AAGGAGGAUGAUCUGCAAGUUUUAGAAACUAAACAGAUGCAGCUUUAAUCAAACACUUAAGCAUCAUGUAGCAAUAUUGAUAAGCGCUAUAUUUUUUUUACUUAUGCAUUCUAAAUCGUAAAUAAAUGCUAGCAAAAGUCAGCUAACAAUGGAAGUAAUGGGCGUCGUUCUAGUCCUCCUACAAAGUGCUCUAAAAAAAACCUCCAUCAAGGUUUUAUAUACACACUGUAUGUAUAUAUGUAGUAUCUAGUAACAUUCAUAACAACAUGUGAUAUUUACAUAUUUUUGUCAUUUUAAGUGUAUUCGUUUCACAAAGUUCACUUUCCCUUCAACGACAAAAAGACUACUAAUCAUGUCAGAAGUGAUGAGAGACUACAAAGACUACUUUGGGACAAACGACGAUCCAGAAACUUCUAUUUUUGAGCCUGAAUAUAAGGAGGAGGAUCUACAAGUUUUAGAAACUAAACAGAUGCAGCUUUAGUCAAACACUUAAGCAUCAUGUAGCAGUAUUGCUAAGUGCUAUAUUUUUUUGACUUGUGCAUUCUAAAUCGUAACUAAAUGCUAGCAAAAGUCAGCUAACAAUGGAAGUAAUGGGCGUCGUUCUAGUCCUCCUACAAAGUGCUCUAAAAAAAUUCUCUAUCAAGGUUUUAUAUACAUGCUGUAAGUAUAUAUGUAGUAUCCAUCCAUCCAUCCAUUUUCUACUGCUUAUUCCCUUUUGGGGUCACGGGGGGCAUAGUAACAUUCAUAACAACAUGUGAUACUUACAUAUUUUCGUCAUUUUGAGCGUAUUCAUUUCGCAAAGUUCACUUUCCCUUCAACAACAACGAGACUACUAAUCAUGUCAGACUUGAUAAGAGACAACAAAGACUCCUUUGGGACAAACGACGAUCGAGAAACUUCUAUUUUUGAGCCUGAAUAUUAAGAGGAUGAUCUACAACUUAAAUAAACUAAACAGACGCAGCUUUAGUCAAACAUUUAAGCGUGAUGUAGCAGUAAUGCUAAGUGCUAAACAAGAUACACAAACAUAAUAAAACAAUCACUUACUGUACAAUGUCUGCUCUCACUGGGGAUAAAGCCCUAUGGGAUGUUUAUAUCUUCCCCUUUACAUCAACGAUUCAACAUCGUUUAGUCAAACACAAAGCAUCAUGUAGCAGCAUUGCUAAGUGCUAAACAAGAUACACAAACAUAAUAAAACAAUCACUUACUGUACCAUGUCUGCUCUCACUGGGAUAAAGACUGAUGGGAUGUUUAUAUAUUCCCCUUAUAUCACCAAUUCAUUAUCAUUUAGUCAAACACUACGCAUCAUGUAGGAGCAUUGCUAAGUGCUAAACAAGAUGCACAAACAUAAUAAAACAAUCACUUACUGUACCAUGUCUGCUCCCGCUGGGAUAAAGACUGAUGGGAUGUUCAUAUAUUCCCCUUUACAUCACCAAUUCAUUAUCAUUUAGUCAAACUCUACGCAUCAUGUAGCAGCAUUGCUAAGUGCUAAACAAGAUGCACUAACAUAAUAAAACAAUCACUUACUGUACCAUGUCUGCUCUCGCUGGGAUAAAGACUGAUGGGAUGUUUAUAUCUUCCCCUUUACAUGAGUGAACAAGGAGACAGAACAGGAACGCUGACUGAGGCCGAGAAAAAAAAAUCGAUAGCCGUAAGCAUACAUAAACAUGUUAAACAGAAGCCACAAAACCUGCAACAAAAACGGGGUGCGUGAAAGAACCUCUUUUCCUCGUAAACAAGACACAGAGGCAAGCAGGCAGAAACGGAGAGGGGAGGGGGUGCCAAGAGAGGAAAGCCUAGUUAACUCUCUGUGAUCACGGCGCCACUAAAAGUAGUUCCUCUGUGGUAGCGCCUAUAAUAACAAUACGCCUAAUACUUGUUCAUAUCCAGGUCACCACAUGUCCAUGGAGUAUUGUUGGCGCUUAUGGGUACAAUAUAGUACUCCUAUUAGCUGCAUUGUUAGCCACCUCUUACUUGCCAUAUUUUACGAUUUAGAAUGCAUGAGUGAGAAAAACAUUUGUGUUCUUGUCUUCCGAGCAACAUUACAAAUAAGUACAGUUCCCCCUUUAAGGUGCAAUAAGAACACCCUCCCCCCACGCAAACACACACACACACACACACACACACACACACACAUGAAAGAUGGCGGACGUGGGAACAUGUCAUUAGCGUGACGCUCAUCAGAUCAUCCUGGCUAUUUUUAGCCAGCAACGUUUGAAAGGCAGAGAGUGGGAGAGUGUCAGUGGGAGGGUGUUCCUGCAUCCAUGGAGAGGGAAGUGUCAGCUUCGGUCUCGUUAACGUCAGGAGAGCCCACGCCAGCCUCGCUCCUCGCCGCCACAUGUCAGAGGUGGAGGAACGCAAAAGGCCAUAUUUGGUUUUUGGAACGCAGACGUGACUUUGACGGAAGAUGGCGGAAAGAAAACAGGAUGAUGCAAGAAGAAGGCAGAAGUUGAGAAGGUCAGAGAUGAGAGGAGGAAGACCAAAGAUGAGAUGAUGGAGGUUAAAGAUGAGAAGAUGAAGACCAAAUAUAAGUACAAGACCAAAAAUUAGAAGAAGAAGGCCAAUAAUGAGGAAAAAGGUCAGAGAUGAGAAGAAGUUCAAAGAUGAAAAAAGAAGACCAGAGAUGAGAAGAUGAAGACUAAAUUUGAAAAGAAGAAGAAGAAGGCCAAAAAUGAGAAGAAGGAGAAGGCCAAAGAUGAGAAGAAUAAGGCCAAUGAUGAGAGGAAGAAAACCAAAGAUGAAGAAAAAGGUCAAAGAUGAGAAGAAGAAGGCCAAAGAUGAUAAGAAGGCCAAAAAUGAUGAGAAGACCAAAGAUGAGAUGAAGAAAACCAAAGAUGAGAAGAAGGCCAAAAAUGAGAAGAAGACCAAAGAUGAGGAAAAAGAUGACCAAAAGAUGAGAAGAAAAAGACCAAAAGAUGAGAAGAAGACCAAAUGAUGAGAAGAAGGUCAAAGAUGAGAAGAAAAAGACCAAAAGAUGAGAAGAAGGUAAAAUAUGUGAAGAAAAAGAUCAAAAAUGAAAAGAAGACCAAAGAUGAGAAAAAGGCCAAAGAUGAGAAGGUUGAAGAUGAGAAGAAGAAAAAAACAAAGAUGAGGAGAAUAAAACCAAAGAUGAGAAGAAGACCAAAGAUGGGAAGAUGAAGACCAAAUAUGAGGAGAAGAAGAAGGCCAAAAAUGAGAAGAAAAGAAGACCAAAGAUGAGAAGAAUAAGGCCAAUGAUGAGAGGAGGAAAACCAAAGACGAGGAAAAAGGUCAAAGAUGAGAAGAAGGCCAAAAAUGAGAAGAAAGCCAAAAAUGAGAAGAAGGCCAAAGAUGAGAAGAAAUUCAAAGAUGAGAAAUAGGCGACAAAAAGAUGAGAAGAAAAAGACCAAAAGAUAAUAAGAAAAGACCAAAUGAUGAGAAGAAGGUCAAAGAUGAGAAGAAGACCAAAAAUGAGAAGCAGACCAAAAAUGAGAAGAAGAUGGCCAAAGAUGAGAAGAAAAAGACCAAAAAUGAGUAGAAGACCAAAGAUGAUAAAAAUACCAAAGAUGAGAAGAAGGUCAAAGAUGAGAAGAAAAAAAAAACACAAAGAUGAGGGGAAUAAAACCAAACUGAAAAGAAGAAGACCAAAGAUGAGAAGAAAAACAAAGAUGAUCUGAAGGUCAAAUAUGAGAAGAAGAACACCAAAUAUGAGAAGAAGGUGAAAGAUGAGAAGAAGAACACCGAAUAUGAGAAUAAGAAAACCAAAGAUGAGAAGAAGGUCAAAGAUGAGAAGAAGGUCAAAUAUGAGAAAAAGACUAAAGAUGAGAAGAAGAAGAACAAAGAUGAAAAGAAAGUCAAAUAUGAGAAGACCAAAGAUGAGGAAAAGGUCAAAUAUGAGAAGGAGACUAAAGACGAGAAAAAGGUGAAAUAUGAGAAGAAGACUAAAGAUGAGAAGAAGGUCAAAUAUAAGAAGAAGACUAAAGAUGAGAAGAAGAAGGUCAAAGGUGAGAAGAAGAGCAAAAGAUGAGAAGAAGAUGGUCAAAGAUGCAAAGAAAAAGACCAAAAAUGAGAAGAAGACCAAAGAAAAGAAAAAGGCCAGUGAUGAGAAGAAAAAUGCCAACGAUGAGAAGAAAGUCAAAGAUGAUAAGAAAAAAAAAUUAAAGAUGACUAGAAUAAAACCAAAGGUGAGAAGAAGAAGACCAAAGAUGAGAAAAAGAAGGCCGAAGAUGAGAAGAAGACCAGAAAUGAGAAGAAGGUCAAAGAUGAGAAGAAGGUCACAGAUGAGAAAAAGAACAAAGAUGACAAGAAGGUCAAAAAUGAGAAGCAGACUAAAGAUGAGAAGAAGACAGCCAAAAGAUGAGAAGCAGAUGGUAAAGAUGAGAAGAAAAAGACCAAAAAUGAGAAGAAGACCAAAGAUGAGGAAAAAG